CGUGCUCGGCCUGCUGGGGCGCGAGCAGGUGGACGUGCGGGUCGAUGGCGCCCGGCGUGGCGAUCAUGUUCUCGCCCGCCAGCACCUCGGUGCCGGCGCCGACGAUCAGACGGCGGUCCACGCCGUUCUGCGUGUGCGGGUUGCCCGCCUUGCCGAUGCCGACGAUCCGGCCGUCCUUGACCCCGAUGUCGCCUUUGACGACGCCGAGCACCGGGUCGAGCACGACGACGUUGGUGAUCACCAGGUCGAGCGCGAUCGUGACGUUCCUGGAGCCGGGAUCGGCCGCCAUGCCGUCGCGGGCG
RNAcentral lists this small RNA (302 nucleotides) under Sphaerisporangium krabiense. RNAcentral's name for it is "5' ureB small RNA". It matches the Rfam family "5' ureB small RNA". Lineage: Bacteria; Bacillati; Actinomycetota; Actinomycetes; Streptosporangiales; Streptosporangiaceae. The record is from Rfam by way of RNAcentral.